Molecule: ribosomal RNA, 1242 nt
Filed under: Triticum aestivum (bread wheat)
Lineage: Eukaryota; Viridiplantae; Streptophyta; Magnoliopsida; Poales; Poaceae
Description: partial small subunit ribosomal RNA
Source: RNAcentral
AUGCAGGCGGCGGCGGCGGCGCGGCGCCACCUCCUCGACCAGCACCACCUCUCCCCAGCCUCCUCGGCCGCCAUCGCCGCCUUCAGAUCCGCCGCCCAGCCGGCGCUCGCGCCCCAAGGGUCGGGCGGGGCGGAUGGCGCGAGGUACAUGUCCGCGAGGGCGCCGGCCGUCAAGGGGGCCGGGCAUCUCGUCCGCAAGGGCACCGGAGGGAGGUCAUCCGUGAGUGGAAUCGUUGCUACGGUGUUUGGCGCUACUGGAUUUCUUGGACGCUAUGUCGUUCAACAACUUGCAAAGAUGGGAUCUCAGGUUCUUGUCCCAUUCAGAGGUUGUGAGGAUUCUCACCGGCACCUGAAGUUAAUGGGUGACUUGGGCCAGAUUGUUCCAAUGAACUACAACCCAAGAGAUGUGAAUUCGAUUAAGACUGCUGUUGCCAAGUCAAAUGUGGUCAUUAACCUCAUUGGACGGGAGUAUGAAACUAGAAACUAUGGGUUUGAAGAAGUAAACCAUCAGAUGGCUGAACAACUUGCAAUGAUAUCCAAGGAGCAUGGGGGUAUUGUGAGAUUUAUCCAGGUUUCUGCUUUAGGGGCAUCAGCCUCUUCACCUUCUAGAUUGCUGAGGGCGAAGGCUGCUGGAGAGGAAUCUGUGUUGAAAGAAUUUCCUGAAGCUACAAUUAUGAGGCCUGCAACCCUGAUUGGCACAGAAGAUCGGAUUUUGAACAGAUGGGCAAUGUAUGCCAAAAAUUGGGGUUUCCUCCCACUUUUUGGCGGUGGAUCUACAAAGUUUCAGCCUGUUUAUGUUGUGGAUGUUGCGGCUGCCAUUGUCAACUCCCUCAAGGAUGAUGGCACCAGCAUGGGAAAGACCUAUGAGCUUGGUGGACCAGAUAUUUACACUGUUCAUGACCUGGCUGAAAUGAUGUUUGAAACAAUACGCGAAUAUCCAAGAUACGUGAAUAUUCCUUUCCCUAUUGCAAAGGCUAUGGCUUCUCCAAGGGAAAUGCUGCUAAACAAAGUGCCUUUUCCUCUACCGACUCCCUCCAUUUUCAAUCUUGAUCAUAUCAAGGCACUCACCGUAGACAAUCUAGUGUCUGAGAAUGCUCUCAGUUUUGCGGACCUGGAAAUCAAGCCUCACAAGUUGAAGGGUUACCCUACCGAGUUCCUUGUCUGCUACAGGAAGGGCGGGCCGUCUUUUGGUUCUACUGUCAGCGAGAAGAUGGGGAGCGCGGAUGUGGCCCCCCGGUUCUGA